UGUCAUAGAAUUCAUUUGAUCAAGUGCGCAUUCUCUAUCUAUGAUAUAUUUAUGUGGGGUUUGCUGUGGCAUUCCAUCAUCUGGCCAGUUAGUGUCAAUUUUAGAGGGUAAAUGUCAUUCUCUUUGCUCUGCUCCUUCAGUACUCUGUAAUCUCAUGAGGGUGGUCUUAUAUGGUUAAUCUGUUAUGGUGACAGUAUUGAGGAUUCUUUUUCCCCUGGUAUUGGGGGAGCUGGGGUGGGAACAAAGAAAAUUAUGAAAAAAGUUCAGUAAUCAGAUUGUUUAAUUUUGAAUGUAGGCAUAUCACAUUCUAGGAUUUGUAGAAGUUUUUUGGGAUUGUUCAUUCUACUUUGUAAAAUGACAUCUCUUUGUUGAUGAAGUACAUAUGAUAAUUUGUUCUUCUUGCAUGUUUUCUUUACCCUGUGAUUCUCACUCCUUUCAUUUUAAUAUGUUGCUACUUCAUUUGCAGCGGAGAUAACAAUGCUUGAGA
This 487-nucleotide unclassified non-coding RNA is filed under the name Hevea brasiliensis (rubber tree). The record is from RNAcentral. Lineage: Eukaryota; Viridiplantae; Streptophyta; Magnoliopsida; Malpighiales; Euphorbiaceae.